GAUGAACGCUGGCGGCGUGCCUAAUACAUGCAAGUCGAGCGAACAGACGAGGAGCUUGCUCCUCUGACGUUAGCGGCGGACGGGUGAGUAACACGUGGAUAACCUACCUAUAAGACUGGGAUAACUUCGGGAAACCGGAGCUAAUACCGGAUAAUAUAUUGAACCGCAUGGUUCAAUAGUGAAAGACGGUUUUGCUGUCACUUAUAGAUGGAUCCGCGCCGCAUUAGCUAGUUGGUAAGGUAACGGCUUACCAAGGCAACGAUGCGUAGCCGACCUGAGAGGGGGAUCGGCCACACUGGAACUGAGACACGCUCCAGUCUCCUACGGGAGGCAGCAGUAGGGAAUCUUCCGCAAUGGGCGAAAGCCUGACGGAGCAACGCCGCGUGAGUGAUGAAGGUCUUCGGAUCGUAAAACUCUGUUAUUAGGGAAGAACAAAUGUGUAAGUAACUAUGCACGUCUUGACGGUACCUAAUCAGAAAGCCACGGCUAACUACGUG
This 497-nucleotide ribosomal RNA is filed under the name uncultured bacterium. RNAcentral's name for it is "partial 16S ribosomal RNA". It matches the Rfam family "Bacterial small subunit ribosomal RNA", at positions 28 to 507 of the family's 1533-position model. The record is from RNAcentral.